CCGGUGACGCUGGCGGCAGGCCUAACACAUGCAGUCGAACGGUAACAGGAAGCAGCUUGCUGCUUCGCUGACGAGUGGCGGACGGGUGAGUAAUGUCUGGGAAGCUGCCUGAUGGAGGGGGAUAACUACUGGAAACGGUAGCUAAUACCGCAUAAUGUCGCAAGACCAAAGAGGGGGACCUUCGGGCCUCUUGCCAUCGGAUGUGCCCAGAUGGGAUUAGCUUGUUGGUGGGGUAACGGCUCACCAAGGCGACGAUCCCUAGCUGGUCUGAGAGGAUGACCAGCCACACUGGAACUGAGACACGGUCCAAACUCCUACGGGAGGCAGCAGUGGGGAAUAUUGCACAAUGGGCGCAAGCCUGAUGCAGCCAUGCCGCGUGUAUGAAGAAGGCCUUCGGGUUGUAAAGUACUUUCAGCGGGGAGGAAGGGAGUAAAGUUAAUACCUUUGCUCAUUGACGUUACCCGCAGAAGAAGCACCGGCUAACUCCGUGCCAGCAGCCGCGGUAAUACGGAGGGUGCAAGCGUUAAUCGGAAUUACUGGGCGUAAAGCGCACGCAGGCGGUUUGUUAAGUCAGAUGUGAAAUCCCCGGGCUCAACCUGGGAACUGCAUCUGAUACUGGCAAGCUUGAGUCUCGUAGAGGGGGGUAGAAUUCCAGGUGUAGCGGUGAAAUGCGUAGAGAUCUGGAGGAAUACCGGUGGCGAAAGGCGGCCCCCUGGGCGAAGACUGACGCUCAGGUGCGAAAGCGUGGGGAGCAAACAGGAUUAGAUACCCUGGUAGUCCACGCCGUAAACGAUGUCGACUUGGAAGGUUGUGCCCUUGAGGCGUGGCUUCCGGAGCUAACGCGUUAAGUCGACCGCCUGGGGAGUACGGCCGCAAGGUUAAAACUCAAAUGAAUUGACGGAAGGGCGAA
Molecule: ribosomal RNA, 910 nt
Filed under: uncultured bacterium
Lineage: Bacteria
Description: bacterial SSU rRNA
Rfam family: Bacterial small subunit ribosomal RNA
Source: RNAcentral